ACUACUAGGGGUGUCUAUGAGUAUAGACUGAGAUUGAAACAUGUUUGACGUUUCUAAACCCUUUGGACCUGAUCUGGAUCAUACCAGCGUAGGAAAGUAGUGUAAC
RNAcentral lists this non-coding RNA (106 nucleotides) under Massilibacterium senegalense. RNAcentral's name for it is "TPP riboswitch (THI element)". It matches the Rfam family "TPP riboswitch aptamer (THI element)", at positions 6 to 98 of the family's 105-position model. Rfam says of the family: Vitamin B(1) in its active form thiamin pyrophosphate (TPP) is an essential coenzyme that is synthesised by coupling of pyrimidine and thiazole moieties in bacteria. The previously detected thiamin-regulatory element, thi box was extended, resulting in a new, highly conserved RNA secondary structure, the THI element, which is widely distributed in eubacteria and also occurs in some archaea. The record is from RNAcentral. Lineage: Bacteria; Bacillati; Bacillota; Bacilli; Caryophanales; Bacillaceae.